GACGAACGCUGGCGGCGUGCUUAACACAUGCAAGUCGAACGGAAAGGCCCUGCUUUUGUGGGGUGCUCGAGUGGCGAACGGGUGAGUAACACGUGAGUAACCUGCCCUUGACUUUGGGAUAACUUCAGGAAACUGGGGCUAAUACCGGAUAGGAGCUCCUGCUGCAUGGUGGGGGUUGGAAAGUUUCGGCGGUUGGGGAUGGACUCGCGGCUUAUCAGCUUGUUGGUGGGGUAGUGGCUUACCAAGGCUUUGACGGGUAGCCGGCCUGAGAGGGUGACCGGCCACAUUGGGACUGAGAUACGGCCCAGCCUCGUACGGGAGGCAGCAGUGGGGAAUAUUGCCCAAUGGGCGGAAGCCUGAUGCAGCAACGCCGCGUGCGGGAUGCCGGCCUUCGGGUUGUAAACCGCUUUCGCAUGUGACGAAGCGUGAGUGACGGUAAUGGGUAAAGAAGCACCGGCUAACUACGUG
RNAcentral lists this ribosomal RNA (468 nucleotides) under uncultured bacterium. Its description in RNAcentral is "partial 16S ribosomal RNA". It matches the Rfam family "Bacterial small subunit ribosomal RNA", at positions 28 to 507 of the family's 1533-position model. The record is from RNAcentral.